This 495-nucleotide ribosomal RNA is filed under the name Lacticaseibacillus rhamnosus. RNAcentral describes it as "bacterial SSU rRNA". It matches the Rfam family "Bacterial small subunit ribosomal RNA", at positions 36 to 496 of the family's 1533-position model. Lineage: Bacteria; Bacillati; Bacillota; Bacilli; Lactobacillales; Lactobacillaceae. The record is from RNAcentral.
ACUGGCGGCGUGCCUAAACAUGCAGUCGAACGAGUUCUGAUUAUUGAAAGGUGCUUGCAUCUUGAUUUAAUUUUGAACGAGUGGCGGACGGGUGAGUAACACGUGGGUAACCUGCCCUUAAGUGGGGGAUAACAUUUGGAAACAGAUGCUAAUACCGCAUAAAUCCAAGAACCGCAUGGUUCUUGGCUGAAAGAUGGCGUAAGCUAUCGCUUUUGGAUGGACCCGCGGCGUAUUAGCUAGUUGGUGAGGUAACGGCUCACCAAGGCAAUGAUACGUAGCCGAACUGAGAGGUUGAUCGGCCACAUUGGGACUGAGACACGGCCCAAACUCCUACGGGAGGCAGCAGUAGGGAAUCUUCCACAAUGGACGCAAGUCUGAUGGAGCAACGCCGCGUGAGUGAAGAAGGCUUUCGGGUCGUAAAACUCUGUUGUUGGAGAAGAAUGGUCGGCAGAGUAACUGUUGUCGGCGUGACGGUAUCCAACCAGAAAGCCACGG